CGAUCAGAUCAACGAUGUAGAGGGAUCGAGAGAGAUCCAGUGUCUCUGACUCGGUAUUGCGACCCGAUUACCCGAGGGCGAGACCAGGUCGUAUUCUCGCCGUCAGGCCAUCUACCGGCGUUAGCUUUGAAUCCUUGACGCCGACGCAUUCCUGAUCUCAAAUUGUCCAUUCAUAGACGGAUGGCGAAGGUACGAAGCUGGACAGCUUAAGGCAUCCCUGGUGGUUCUCCAACGUUUUCCGGCGACUCCAACUACGGAUUGAGCUGCAUAUGGUAUGAAACUUAAUCCUCUCGUCACGCUCUACAUGAUAGUAUAAAUAGUUUUUGAAUUCGAUUGGGUUCUGACGAAAGUAUGUUUUUGGGUGACAUCGGAUUUCACUGUGAUUCCGGUUUAAGGCAGCAAUUCCGGAGUUUUUGAUUCGCCUCCGAUAGCUAUUUCUCGGUAUUGUUGCUUGCGUUCCUCCAAUGAGGCCUA
This 474-nucleotide long non-coding RNA is filed under the name Rosa chinensis. RNAcentral describes it as "sRNA RchiOBHm_Chr5g0028221". The record is from RNAcentral. Lineage: Eukaryota; Viridiplantae; Streptophyta; Magnoliopsida; Rosales; Rosaceae.